GUGUCUGGAACAAAGGUGCACACCUAAGAGCAUAAGGCUCCAGGAUUUAAGCCUAGUGAACCUCGAGCCUGAGGCGUGCCUCUUUAAUAACUAUGAAUUAAUAGCUCCAUUAACGUAUAAAGGCUCACCUUCCCAAAGUCCACACAGUUCAUUUUGAUUUAGAGUGAGCCAAGAUAAAAUAAUGCAACAAACCAGCCAAAAGGGAACUCACGCUGAAAAGCAAUCAUCUUUGCCAUAUCCACACAGAACCUCAAAUAUGGCCGUACAGAAAAUCAACAUGAAAAAACGUAUCUUAUUUUGCAAGAUGACCACUUCAUACAGAAGCUAAAUUAG
This 333-nucleotide unclassified non-coding RNA is filed under the name Hevea brasiliensis (rubber tree). The record is from RNAcentral. Lineage: Eukaryota; Viridiplantae; Streptophyta; Magnoliopsida; Malpighiales; Euphorbiaceae.